AACGGUCUAUACCUGCGGUACCUGCGGAGGGAUCAUUAUUGAGUGUUAACCUACACCCCGUAAAAAAGGGUGUGGUACCUCCUGUCCUUUGCAGGCCCCUUUUAUUGGGGGCUUUUUUAAGACUUUCUGCUUCGGCGGGGUAACUCCCGCCGGAACACCCUCAAAAAAAUCUUGAAUUUAAAAAACCGUUCAGUCCGAGAAAUUUUUUAAAAAUUAAAAAAAACUUUUAACAACGGAUCU
This 240-nucleotide unclassified non-coding RNA is filed under the name soil metagenome. RNAcentral's name for it is "partial contains 5.8S ribosomal RNA, internal transcribed spacer 2, and large subunit ribosomal RNA". The record is from RNAcentral.